RNAcentral lists this long non-coding RNA (311 nucleotides) under Homo sapiens (human). Its description in RNAcentral is "LHRI_LNC1530.1". The record is from RNAcentral. Lineage: Eukaryota; Metazoa; Chordata; Mammalia; Primates; Hominidae.
UUAAUGAAGCUGACUUUAGUAAUGCAUUUUCCCUGCUUUACUGACUGUGGCAUCUGCUCAUCUUUGUCCGGUCUCUUGGUCAACAAUUCCCCACUGUCCAGGAUCACCAGAGAAUGCUCCUCCCAAGGACUUGACCAAGCUCAGACCCUUUAGCUGGGCAGUCCUAGGAAUGAGUCCCGAGGCAAGGAUGGGCCCAGUGAAGCCCUGUUUCUAUCAGUGAGGAGUUGGGAAAUGUCCAAGAAGGGGGCCACAAGUCACUCAUUCGAAGUGCCAUCGAAGAAUAUUCAGCAACACAGAAAAAUAAGUGAAAC